RNAcentral lists this microRNA (20 nucleotides) under Drosophila pseudoobscura pseudoobscura. RNAcentral's name for it is "mir-2539-RB". Lineage: Eukaryota; Metazoa; Arthropoda; Insecta; Diptera; Drosophilidae. The record is from RNAcentral.
AAUACAGCCGCAUGAUUAUU